Molecule: ribosomal RNA, 495 nt
Filed under: uncultured bacterium
Lineage: Bacteria
Description: partial 16S ribosomal RNA
Rfam family: Bacterial small subunit ribosomal RNA
Source: RNAcentral
GACGAACGCUGGCGGCGUGCCUAAUACAUGCCAGUAGAACGCUGAAGGAGGAGCUUGCUUCUCCGGAUGAGUUGCGAACGGGUGAGUAACGCGUAGGUAACCUGCCUGGUAGCGGGGGAUAACUAUUGGAAACGAUAGCUAAUACCGCAUAAGAGUAGAUGUUGCAUGACAUUUGCUUAAAAGGUGCAAUUGCAUCACUACCAGAUGGACCUGCGUUGUAUUAGCUAGUUGGUGAGGUAACGGCUCACCAAGGCGACGAUACAUAGCCGACCUGAGAGGGUGAUCGGCCACACUGGGACUGAGACACGGCCCAGACUCCUACGGGAGGCAGCAGUAGGGAAUCUUCGGCAAUGGACGGAAGUCUGACCGAGCAACGCCGCGUGAGUGAAGAAGGUUUUCGGAUCGUAAAGCUCUGUUGUAAGAGAAGAACGAGUGUGAGAGUGGAAAGUUCACACUGUGACGGUAUCUUACCAGAAAGGGACGGCUAACUACGUG